GAGUAGCUUGCUACUCUGCUGACGAGCGGCGGACGGGUGAGUAAUGCUUGGGAAUAUGCCUUAUGGUGGGGGACAACAGUUGGAAACGACUGCUAAUACCGCAUGAUGUCUACGGACCAAAGUGGGGGACCUUCGGGCCUCACGCCAUAAGAUUAGCCCAAGUGGGAUUAGCUAGUUGGUGAGGUAAUGGCUCACCAAGGCGACGAUCCCUAGCUGGUUUGAGAGGAUGAUCAGCCACACUGGGACUGAGACACGGCCCAGACUCCUACGGGAGGCAGCAGUGGGGAAUAUUGCACAAUGGGCGCAAGCCUGAUGCAGCCAUGCCGCGUGUGUGAAGAAGGCCUUCGGGUUGUAAAGCACUUUCAGUAAGGAGGAAAGGUUAAGUGUUAAUAGCACUUAGCUGUGACGUUACUUACAGAAGAAGCACCGGCUAACUCCGUGCCAGCAGCCGCGGUAAUACGGAGGGUGCGAGCGUUAAUCGGAAUUACUGGGCGUAAAGCGUACGCAGGCGGUUUGUUAAGCGAGAUGUGAAAGCCCCGGGCUCAACCUGGGAACUGCAUUUCGAACUGGCAAACUAGAGUGUGAUAGAGGGUGGUAGAAUUUCAGGUGUAGCGGUGAAAUGCGUAGAGAUCUGAAGGA
Molecule: ribosomal RNA, 639 nt
Filed under: Pseudoalteromonas sp.
Lineage: Bacteria; Pseudomonadati; Pseudomonadota; Gammaproteobacteria; Alteromonadales; Pseudoalteromonadaceae
Description: bacterial SSU rRNA
Rfam family: Bacterial small subunit ribosomal RNA
Source: RNAcentral